CUUUCUUUGCUGACGAGCGGCGGACGGGUGAGUAAUGCCUAGGGAACUGCCCAGUCGAGGGGGAUAACAGUUGGAAACGACUGCUAAUACCGCAUACGCCCUACGGGGGAAAAGAGGGGACCUUCGGGCCUUCUGCGAUUGGAUGUACCUAGGUGGGAUUAGCUAGUAGGUGAGGUAAUGGCUCACCUAGGCGACGAUCCCUAGCUGUUCUGAGAGGAUGAUCAGCCACACUGGGACUGAGACACGGCCCAGACUCCUACGGGAGGCAGCAGUGGGGAAUAUUGCACAAUGGGCGCAAGCCUGAUGCAGCCAUGCCGCGUGUGUGAAGAAGGCCUUCGGGUUGUAAAGCACUUUCAGCGAGGAGGAAAGGUUAAGUGUUAAUAGCACUUAGCUGUGACGUUACUCGCAGAAGAAGCACCGGCUAACUUCGUGCCAGCAGCCGCGGUAAUACGAGGGGUGCA
This 461-nucleotide ribosomal RNA is filed under the name Shewanella marisflavi. Its description in RNAcentral is "bacterial SSU rRNA". It matches the Rfam family "Bacterial small subunit ribosomal RNA", at positions 79 to 536 of the family's 1533-position model. Lineage: Bacteria; Pseudomonadati; Pseudomonadota; Gammaproteobacteria; Alteromonadales; Shewanellaceae. The record is from RNAcentral.